This 240-nucleotide unclassified non-coding RNA is filed under the name soil metagenome. Its description in RNAcentral is "partial contains 5.8S ribosomal RNA, internal transcribed spacer 2, and large subunit ribosomal RNA". The record is from RNAcentral.
AACAUCGCGCACCUGCGGGAACCUGCGGAAGGAUCAUUACAGAGUUGCAAAACUCCCCAAACCAUUGUGAACGUUACCUAAACCGUUGCUUCGGCGGGCGGCCCGGGUCCUUCCCGGCGCCCCUCGGCCCUCGCGGGCGCCCGCCGGAGGUAAACCAAACUAUUGCAUUGUAUGGCCUCUCUGAGUCUUCUGUACUGAAUAAGUCAAAACUUUCAACAACGGAUCUCAGAUCGGAAGAGC